Molecule: small nuclear RNA, 132 nt
Filed under: Octodon degus (degu)
Lineage: Eukaryota; Metazoa; Chordata; Mammalia; Rodentia; Octodontidae
Description: U4 spliceosomal RNA (ENSODEG00000025637.1)
Source: RNAcentral
AGCCUUGCUCCGUGGCAUUACCUUAGCCAAGGAGGUUCAUCUCAGGCAUGAUUAUUGCUAAUUGAAAGACCAAUCAUACUUGGAUUUAUACUGUGGAUGAAACACUGAGAGUUCAUGGCACUAGGAAAGAUA